CAGGCAGAUCCAAUUUUCUGCCACCGAAUACAUUAGCAUGGGAUAAUGGAAUAGGACCCUGUCCUCCUAUUUUCAGUUGGUUUGCCGCGAGGACCAGGGUAAUGAUUAAUAGGGAUAGUUGGGGGCAUUAAUAUUUAAUUGUCAGAGGUGAAAUUCUUGGAUUUAUGAAAGAUUAACUUCUGCGAAAGCAUCUGCCAAGGAUGUUUUCAUUAAUCAAGAACGAAAGUUAGGGGAUCGAAGACGAUCAGAUACCGUCGUAGUCUUAACCAUAAACGAUGCCGACCAGCGAUUAGGAGACGUUGAAUACAAAACACCACCAUGCGCAUUGCGGUCGUCUUUGGUGUCGCUCACAAGGCGGCACCGGGGCGGCUUAGCUCGCAUGGCACCG
Molecule: ribosomal RNA, 388 nt
Filed under: Acanthamoeba sp. BN-2(2)-T3
Lineage: Eukaryota; Discosea; Longamoebia; Acanthamoebidae
Description: SSU rRNA
Rfam family: Eukaryotic small subunit ribosomal RNA (bases 1-346)
Source: RNAcentral